Molecule: ribosomal RNA, 297 nt
Filed under: Triticum aestivum (bread wheat)
Lineage: Eukaryota; Viridiplantae; Streptophyta; Magnoliopsida; Poales; Poaceae
Description: partial small subunit ribosomal RNA
Source: RNAcentral
AUGCUCCUCGUAGCCACCGACGCGACCAUCUCCUGUGGACAGGUGAGCUCUACCUUGAAUCCCUGCAUCUCCUAUGCCAGCAGCAACGGCGCCAACCCGACUACGGCCUGCUGCAGCUGUGUCAGCAGUGUGGCCAGCGCAGCACGGAGCACCGCUGACGAGCAAGUGGCGUGCAAGUGCAUCAAGAGCGCUCCCGGUGGGCUCAACGCUGGCAACGCCGCCGACAUUCCCUUCAAGUGUGGCGUCAACAUUCCCUACGCCAUCAGCUCUUCCGUCGACUGCUCUAAGAUUUGUUGA